RNAcentral lists this ribosomal RNA (253 nucleotides) under uncultured bacterium. Its description in RNAcentral is "partial 16S ribosomal RNA". It matches the Rfam family "Bacterial small subunit ribosomal RNA", at positions 524 to 776 of the family's 1533-position model. The record is from RNAcentral.
GACGGAGGAUGCAAGCGUUAUCCGGAAUUAUUGGGCGUAAAGAGCUCGUAGGCGGUUUGUCGCGUCUGCUGUGAAAACUCGGGGCUUAACCCCGGGCCUGCAGUGGGUACGGGCAGACUAGAGUGCGGUAGGGGAGACUGGAAUUCCUGGUGUAGCGGUGAAAUGCGCAGAUAUCAGGAGGAACACCGGUGGCGAAGGCGGGUCUCUGGGCCGUAACUGACGCUGAGGAGCGAAAGCGUGGGGAGCGAACAGG